Molecule: ribosomal RNA, 243 nt
Filed under: uncultured bacterium
Lineage: Bacteria
Description: partial 16S ribosomal RNA
Rfam family: Bacterial small subunit ribosomal RNA
Source: RNAcentral
UAGGGUGCAAGCGUUAUCCGGAUUUACUGGGUGUAAAGGGCGAGUAGACGGCGAUGCAAGUCAGAUGUGAAAUGCUAGGGCUUAACCUUAGAACUGCAUCUGAAACUGUAUUGCUAGAGUGCAGGAGAGGUAAACGGAAUUCCUAGUGUAGCGGUGAAAUGCGUAGAUAUUAGGAGGAACAUCAGUGGCGAAGGCGGUUUACUGGACUGUAACUGACGCUGAGGCACGAAAGCGUGGGGAUCG